UACGUAGGGUGCGAGCGUUGUCCGGAAUUAUUGGGCGUAAAGGGCUCGUAGGCGGUCUGUUGCGUCAGGAGUGAAAACUCGGGGCUUAACCCCGAGCCUGCUUCUGAUACGGGCAGACUAGAGGUAUGCAGGGGAGAACGGAAUUCCUGGUGUAGCGGUGAAAUGCGCAGAUAUCAGGAGGAACACCGGUGGCGAAGGCGGUUCUCUGGGCAGUUCCUGACGCUGAGGCACGAAGGCCAGGGGAGCAAACGGG
Molecule: ribosomal RNA, 253 nt
Filed under: uncultured bacterium
Lineage: Bacteria
Description: partial 16S ribosomal RNA
Rfam family: Bacterial small subunit ribosomal RNA
Source: RNAcentral